Equus caballus (horse) is the source of this 4516-nucleotide long non-coding RNA. Lineage: Eukaryota; Metazoa; Chordata; Mammalia; Perissodactyla; Equidae. The record is from Ensembl.
AUUUGUAAAAAAGAAUUUAAAAAUUCAGAAUAAUAGAGUAGUAAUUAAAUAAAUUAUAAUGUGCUACUGACUCACCAGAAGUUAUGUUUGUGGAGUCUUUAAUGACAUGGAGUCAAAGAUUAUAAUCAAAUGCCAAUUAAAUGAAAUAUGUGAUUUCAAUCUGGUAAAUAUGUGUGUGUGUGUGUGUGCGCGUGUGUGUGUGUACUUCCUCCGUUUGAAGGUACAUGUUUUUAUGUUUUACUGCUUCUUAAACUAAGAUGAAUCACACAAUAUAAUUCCUUUCUCUACUCAAAAAGCUGUUUUUACAUUGAUGCCUUAUCUCACAAGGAAUUGCAUCUUGGAAUCAAGGAAAGACUGUCCAUGUGCCUUAAAAAGAUAUUUCUUAUAUAAGUAGAAAAGAAAUUAUGUUUUAAAAGGAAAAGCCCCUUGUGGCAUACCUUUCAAGGCUGCUUCUCACUUUGGUCUUUAAAGAGCCUGUCUUAGAGGAGUUCCUCUGUGCCAUGUUUAUGGUUAUGUGUCCACUACCUGAUCGUCUAUUUACGUUACUAAAGAGGAAAUGAAGCCCACUUGGAGUGGAUUUUUAUUACGAACACACACUAGACCCUAGUGAAUAGUGAAUACACACUAUGAUCAACAUUUUAUUUGUAAGGUCAACGGACUGCCUGUUUAAUCAUCCUUUCUGGAAUUUUGCGAGAUAACAACAUCAAGUCUACUUAUUUACUGUUUCUAGAACCUGCUUCCAAACCCCGUAUUGCCUGUAUUUUCACUUCUGAAAAUCCAGAAUGUGUCUGUUUUGUUCCAGUCUCCUGACUUAUGUCAGGGUCCGUUGAUUCCAUGACUACCCCAAGUCACCUCACAAUCAUGCCUCCGAGGCCCCUUAGAAUCCUGGGGCACAGGUCCUCUGGAAACGGAGGGUAGGAUUCAUUCAAGUAGCCCGUUCUUUCUGGAAAUUCGUGUACCCUUUUAACCCAUGCUGGACUUUUUAAGUUUUGAAGAUCUGCAAAUUCUUUGACACUUCUACACUAAAAAGGUGGCGUUUACUUACCUUCCCCUUAAACACCGGCCGGACUCAGUGACUCGAUUCUGCUGAAUAGGGUGAGGAAGAAGAAGCCCUCGGACACUUCUGCGGCUGGGUGGGGAACAGCGACACGGCCUCCAAAUGACUCUGUAUCUUAGGAGAUGUGCCUUUGGGGAGCCUGAGCUGCCCUGUAAGAAAUCCAGAUACCCUACAGUUGCCAUGAUGCAGAGGGCAAGUGGAGACACCAUCUGGAGGAGCCCCUGUGGUGCUGGCCACCAGCUGUGUGCACCCUAAUAGCUAAAGCAAGGGCUGUUUCACGCCAGCUUAAGAGCUAUGAAUUUGGAACUUCAGGACUCAAAGCCCUUCAGAGCUACCAAGAAUGUCAUUUCAUUCACUGCCUGGCUGUAGAGAAAGAGUGACGGGGACGGAGCGGGGCUGCCAAGUGCCUCUGGGAGCCGAUUAGUAGGGGACUGGAGUGCCCUGGCUCCCCGGAUACAAAUGGAACGUAGUUACAGGGCCAAGCCAUGUAGGCCUUUAACGGAGAUAGCAUAUCAGCUUUCCCAUGACCCAGAACACAUGGGGACUUGGAGAUGACACUAUGCUCCACCUUGGUCAAGCCUCUGAGAUUCUGAAGCAGGAACAGUUAGAUACAACAAAACUUAAAAGGACGGAAUCUCUUAUUAUCAGAGCUUUGAGUUUUGUUACAGGAGCUGUGUUCUUUGGCCUGACCAGAAGGAAAUUCACUCUCCUUUUCAGAUGGAUAAGGUGCAGGGGUCUUUGGGUACCCCAGGUGGAUGGAAACAACCCCCAGCCAAAGGCUGUCAGAAAAGAAGUUUAGGUAAUAUUGCCCAGCUCAAUAACCAGUCUGGAAGAGGGCAUCAAGCAGGCCACUCAGGUAGGAGAAGGUGACAGCAGACAUUUGAGACUUGAGAGGGUCCUGAAAGAGUCUUCGCUUUUGAAACAUACCUGGCAUUGCUUAGUUGUUUGUGGAACUGGGGGAAACCCUUAUAUACUGUUGGACUUUAGGUUCUUAUGGUUGGACUCUUCCAGAAAAUGUAAAAUGGGGUCGGGGAGGGUCUAGUUCCUCCCAGCUUUCUUUAGCUCUGUGUAAUUAGGUUCCUGCCUACAUGUCGUGCCCUCCGCCCGCUACCCGCUUCGCCCGACCUGCAGGACUGCCUUCCCAUCGCGAGCACAUACUUCUUGGGAAGGCUCCCAAGAACCCUCCCUCCUGCCAUCAGGGUUGGCGACCACCUUAUUUGUGAUAUCACUGGAGGCAUGCAUACCUCUGUUUCAGUUGAAGACCUACCUAAAAUACUCUGAAUUGGUUCAGCACAAGUCUUUCUAGUCCCUUCUCAAAGGCAGGAAAUGAUGACAUUUGACACGGGGGUACCUAAAGACACAGGCAACAGGGGCCAAACCAAGAGUGGACCUUGACCCCAUCACCUGGGCUGAUGUCUUCACUGAAACCCUCCAGACUUCAUGGUAUGCCCAUCGCCAGAUUUGGUGUAGCCCAGAAUGAUCCCCUUUAGGGGAAAAGGAGGGAAGGAGAGGAGAAGGAAGAAAGGAAGAAACAUCUUUAUCAGUUAAAAAAUAAUCAGUUCGUUUUCCUGUAGCAACUUACUGAGAGCCUACCCCGUCAGUCACUGAAGAGCCAUCACAGUAUCUAUGUGUGAUGAUCAUUAUCUGUGAUGAUAACCCUGUGAGGUUCUGGUUACUUGGACUUCUGUGGUGGUUUCAGUUUGAUCUCUCCUGGAGUAACAGCUGGCCAUUACUUCAUACUGCUGCAACGAAAAAUUCUAAGGCGCGCUUUGUGGAAGAGAAAUAAAGGGGAUCUGGUCUUUGAAGAUGUGGAAUAUGGUAACUACCUUGCCAGUAAACCAUGCUAUCGCCGUGGAAGACUCUGAAGGAGGACAAGCCCUGAGUUUCCUGGUUAUGUGUGAUUCACACCAGAUAAUCAAAAGACUGAGAGAGAAUGUUCUUCUGGAUGGAUAGAAGAGUUUGAUUUGUCAAUGGAUCCCAAGGUACAACUUGAAGAAGAGAAAAAUUAUUUUCUCAAAAAUCUUAAAAAUCACAGAUUUCUGAUCUAAUUGGCAGCACUUCCUAGCUUUAAAGGUUGAAUUUAUCUGAGCAAAAUGACUUGGGGCAAUUUGUGUAAUUACUUCACAGUUAUCUGCAGACAGACUGUGGAAACCACAUCUCUGCAGAUAAAUGCGCAGAUUCAGGUCACUAGGACAUACUCCUGACACCUGACACGCUGCGUGAGAUUUUUCUUCCCUCUCCCUGCUUCUCCCUCCCUUUUAGUAAUCUAAUCCUUUUAGCAAGAAUGCUAUUUUGUCAUGAAAAUACAAGGAAAUGAGAACAUUUUCUUGGUCUUAAAAUCUCAAACCCUAUUUGCUGAUACCAUCAGAUAAAGCAUUCUACUCAGGCUAGGUCCAAGGCUAUGAUAAGAUUUAUUUUCACAAGAUGGUAACAGUAUCGUAUCCUUUGAGGCUAAUCUUUAGAACAUGAGUACAUUUUUGUUGUUGAGUUGUCCUUUUUCUUCUAUAGUACUGAAAUGUUACAUCUUAUUCUUAAUAAUUAUUUUUCAAUGAAUUCCUUAUAAUUUAAAGAGAAACUUUCCUCAUUGGGCUCAUGUAUUUUACCCACCCAAAAUUGCAAAUAGAAUUUGUACAAUUUCAUGAGCUCUGACACGAAAAAUGUCGUAGGCAAUUCUGUAUAACAACUCAACAGCAGACGCAGAAGUGAAGAGCCAGCUGACAUCCUUGAAACUUCCAUGUGCUUGGGUUUAUGUUUAAAGGGCCAUUCAACAUAACAGAGUACAUUUGAAUAGAAAGGAAGUAAUUUUGAAAUGCUUUAUUCCAUUUACUUAGGGAAUAAUAUAAAUAAUGUUAUAAGAUAAAUUUUGCUCUCUGGUAACCCAAACAUUUUAAACAUUCAUUAUCUAGUCUUUGCUCCAUUUAUUUGAAAUGCAGUGGCAUAUUCAGAAAAUCUGAAAGAAAAAGAUUAAUUGCAAUUAUUUUACCAAUGGUAUUAUGGGAAAUUAUACCAGUUUAUGAAUAAAGGAAGCUAGAUACUUAAAUGCCUCCCUCAGUGUAAGAUGUCAAUAUGUUAUACUUCAGGAUAUACUAAGUAUAUCCUGUGGUUUGGAAAUUUAGAUUAUCAUCAUAGUUUUUUAGUUAUCAAGAGAAAUUACUUUUUAGAAAAUCAACUUUAUUGAGGUGUUAUUUACAUACAAUAAAAUGCAUCUAUUUUAAGCGUCCAUUUAGAUGAAUUAUGACAAAUAUAUACAUCUGUGGAACCGCAGUCACUACAAUCAAGAUAUAGAAUAUUCAGGGGCUGGCCCCGUGGCUGAGAGGUUAAGUUCAUGUACUCCGCUGCGUCGGCCCAGGGUUUCACCGGUUCGGAUCUUGGGCGCGGACAUGGCACCACUCAUCAGGCCACGUUGAGGUGGUGUCCCACAUACCACAACUAGAAGGACCUGCAGCUAAGAUAUACAGC